GGGUUGUGAGGUUAAGCGACUAAGCGUACACGGUGGAUGCCCUGGCAGUCAGAGGCGAUGAAGGACGUGCUAAUCUGCGAAAAGCGUCGGUAAGGUGAUAUGAACCGUUAUAGCCGGCGAUGUCCGAAUGGGGAAACCCAGUGCAAUUCGUUGCACUAUCGUUAACUGAAUACAUAGGUUAACGAGGCGAACCGGGGGAACUGAAACAUCUAAGUACCCCGAGGAAAAGAAAUCAACCGAGAUUCCCCCAGUAGCGGCGAGCGAACGGGGAGCAGCCCAGAGUCUGAAUCAGCUUGUGUGUUAGUGGAACGGUCUGGAAAGUCCGACGGUACAGGGUGAUAGUCCCGUACACCAAAAUGCACAGGCUGUGAACUCGAAGAGUAGGGCGGGACACGUGGUAUCCUGUCUGAAUAUGGGGGGACCAUCCUCCAAGGCUAAAUACUCCUGACUGACCGAUAGUGAACCAGUACCGUGAGGGAAAGGCGAAAAGAACCCCGGCGAGGGGAGUGAAAAAGAACCUGAAACCGUGUACGUACAAGCAGUGGGAGCACCUUCGGGUGUGACUGCGUACCUUUUGUAUAAUGGGUCAGCGACUUAUAUUCUGUAGCAAGGUUAACCGUAUAGGGGAGCCGCAGGGAAACCGAGUCUUAACUGGGCGUUAAGUUGCAGGGUAUAGACCCGAAACCCGGUGAUCUAGCCAUGGGCAGGUUGAAGGUUGGGUAACACUAACUGGAGGACCGAACCGACUAAUGUUGAAAAAUUAGCGGAUGACUUGUGGCUGGGGGUGAAAGGCCAAUCAAACCGGGAGAUAGCUGGUUCUCCCCGAAAGCUAUUUAGGUAGCGCCUCGUGAAUUCAUCUUCGGGGGUAGAGCACUGUUUCGGCUAGGGGGUCAUCCCGACUUACCAACCCGAUGCAAACUACGAAUACCGAAGAAUGUUAUCACGGGAGACACACGGCGGGUGCUAACGUCCGUCGUGAAGAGGGAAACAACCCAGACCGCCAGCUAAGGUCCCAAAGUCAUGGUUAAGUGGGAAACGAUGUGGGAAGGCACAGACAGCCAGGAUGUUGGCUUAGAAGCAGCCAUCAUUUAAAGAAAGCGUAAUAGCUCACUGGUCGAGUCGGCCUGCGCGGAAGAUGUAACGGGGCUAAACCAUGCACCGAAGCUGCGGCAGCGACACUAUGUGUUGUUGGGUAGGGGAGCGUUCUGUAAGCCUGCGAAGGUGACCUGUGAGGGUUGCUGGAGGUAUCAGAAGUGCGAAUGCUGACAUAAGUAACGAUAAAGCGGGUGAAAAGCCCGCUCGCCGGAAGACCAAGGGUUCCUGUCCAACGUUAAUCGGGGCAGGGUGAGUCGACCCCUAAGGCGAGGCCGAAAGGCGUAGUCGAUGGGAAACAGGUUAAUAUUCCUGUACUUGGUGUUACUGCGAAGGGGGGACGGAGAAGGCUAUGUUAGCCGGGCGACGGUUGUCCCGGUUUAAGCAUGUAGGCUGGUUAUCCAGGCAAAUCCGGAUAAUCAAGGCUGAGGUGUGAUGACGAGGCACUACGGUGCUGAAGUAACAAAUGCCCUGCUUCCAGGAAAAGCCUCUAAGCAUCAGGUAACAUCAAAUCGUACCCCAAACCGACACAGGUGGUCAGGUAGAGAAUACCAAGGCGCUUGAGAGAACUCGGGUGAAGGAACUAGGCAAAAUGGUGCCGUAACUUCGGGAGAAGGCACGCUGGUGUGUAGGUGAAGUCCCUGCGGAUGGAGCUGAGACCAGUCGAAGAUACCAGCUGGCUGCAACUGUUUAUUAAAAACACAGCACUGUGCAAACACGAAAGUGGACGUAUACGGUGUGACGCCUGCCCGGUGCCGGAAGGUUAAUUGAUGGGGUUAUCCGUAAGGAGAAGCUCUUGAUCGAAGCCCCGGUAAACGGCGGCCGUAACUAUAACGGUCCUAAGGUAGCGAAAUUCCUUGUCGGGUAAGUUCCGACCUGCACGAAUGGCGUAAUGAUGGCCAGGCUGUCUCCACCCGAGACUCAGUGAAAUUGAACUCGCUGUGAAGAUGCAGUGUACCCGCGGCAAGACGGAAAGACCCCGUGAACCUUUACUAUAGCUUGACACUGAACAUUGAGCCUUGAUGUGUAGGAUAGGUGGGAGGCUUUGAAGCGUGGACGCCAGUCUGCGUGGAGCCAACCUUGAAAUACCACCCUUUAAUGUUUGAUGUUCUAACGUUGGCCCCU
RNAcentral lists this ribosomal RNA (2217 nucleotides) under Klebsiella pneumoniae. RNAcentral describes it as "partial 23S ribosomal RNA". It matches the Rfam family "Bacterial large subunit ribosomal RNA", at positions 1 to 2236 of the family's 2925-position model. Lineage: Bacteria; Pseudomonadati; Pseudomonadota; Gammaproteobacteria; Enterobacterales; Enterobacteriaceae. The record is from RNAcentral.